GUUUGUGCGACGCAGCUAACGCAUUAAGCGCCCCGCCUGGUGAGUACGAUCGCAAGACUAAACUCAAAGGAAUUGACGGGGCCCCGCACAAGCAGCGGAGCAUGCGGCUUAAUUCGACGCAACGCGAAGAACCUUACCAAGGCUUGACAUAUACAGGAAUACGGCAGAGAUGUCGUAGCCGCAAGGUCUGUAUACAGGUGGUGCAUGGUUGUCGUCAGCUCGUGUCGUGAGAUGUUGGGUUAAGUCCCGCAACGAGCGCAACCCUCGUUCUGUGUUGCCAGCAUUUAGUUGGGGACUCACAGGAGACUGCCGGGGUUAACUCGGAGGAAGGUGGGGAUGACGUCAAAUCAUCAUGCCCCUUAUGUCUUGGGCUGCACGCAUGCUACAAUGGCCGGUACAAACGGCUGCAAUACCGCAAGGUGGAGCGAAUCCGAGAAAGCCAGUCUCAGUUCGGAUUGGGGUCUGCAACUCGACCCCAUGAAGUCGGAGUUGCUAGUAAUCGUAGAUCAGCAACGCUACGGUGAAUACGUUCCCGGGGCUUGUACACACCGCCCGUCACAUCACGAAAUCGGUAACACCCAAAGUCAGUGGCCCAACCGCAAGGAGGGAGCUGCCAAAG
Molecule: ribosomal RNA, 619 nt
Filed under: uncultured Actinomycetes bacterium
Lineage: Bacteria; Bacillati; Actinomycetota; Actinomycetes
Description: bacterial SSU rRNA
Rfam family: Bacterial small subunit ribosomal RNA
Source: RNAcentral